This 76-nucleotide transfer RNA is filed under the name Candidatus Liptonbacteria bacterium RIFCSPLOWO2_01_FULL_45_15. Its description in RNAcentral is "tRNA-Lys". It matches the Rfam family "tRNA". From Rfam's summary of the family: Transfer RNA (tRNA) molecules are approximately 80 nucleotides in length. Lineage: Bacteria; Candidatus Liptoniibacteriota. The record is from RNAcentral.
GCGCCCAUAGCUCAGUUGGCAGAGCAGCUCGCUCUUAACGAGAAGGUCCCAGGUUCGAGGCCUGGUGGGCGCACAA